Molecule: long non-coding RNA, 721 nt
Organism: Cyprinus carpio carpio
Lineage: Eukaryota; Metazoa; Chordata; Actinopteri; Cypriniformes; Cyprinidae
Source: Ensembl
UUACAAUGCUCUAUGGAUAAUAGAAAAUUAAAAAACUGUCAGUCAUCUGAUAUCACUCUGAGGCCACUCUCUCUGUGUGAGAAAAAGGAGGGGGCUGAGUCACUCUGAUGGCUCUGCCAUUGCCCUUUGAAGAAUGUGUGUGUGUUGAGAGUAUGUGUGUGACAGAGAAAGAGAGAGAGAGAGAGAGAGAGAGAGAGAGAUAUCAAGCUAUCCAGAGAGAGAGAGACUUAAACAUCUCUUUAAUCAUCAGAAAAAAAAAAAUCAGUAUUUUAAAUUGAUAUUGUUUAUGUUGUUGCUAAUGGUGUAAAUCAUAGACUGCAUAGUCUUCACUGUUUAAAACUAAAUAUAGAUUAAUCGUUUUUGAUGUUACAAAGGUUAUUUAGGUGGGGGUUUUUUUUCCAAAAAAAUCAGAAAAAAAUCAAAUGUAAAUAACAGCAUAGUCUUCACUGUUUAAAACUAAAUAUAGAUUAAUCAUUUUUGAUGUUACAAAGGUUAUUUAGUCAGAAGCAGUGAGCACUUGUAUUUUUCUUUGACAGCAUUAGAUUUAUUAUUAGUUUGCUUUCACUUUAAGAACCAAUCACGGGUUUAAUAUACACAUGCCUUUUCUUUCUGAACUGUUAACAUUAAGAAAUAUGCCUAACUGACUGUGUUUACUAGGAUAUUCCCCAAAACGCGCAUUUAGAUGUUAUUAUGUAUUUAUUGAUCCAUGCACAAAAAAGCG